GUAAUAUAAGAACCCGUCUCUUAACUUUUAACUAAAAAAGCUAAGAACCGGUUCUUAAAUAAAAAAACUAAGAACCGGUUCUUAAAUCUCUUAUUUAAGAGCCGGUUCUUAAAUCUCUUAUUUAAGAGCCGGUUCUUAGCUUUUUUAGUUGAAAAUUAAGAGACGGGUUCUUAUAUUCC
RNAcentral lists this microRNA precursor (179 nucleotides) under Brassica napus (rape). RNAcentral describes it as "MIR9563 microRNA precursor family". It matches the Rfam family "MIR9563 microRNA precursor family". Lineage: Eukaryota; Viridiplantae; Streptophyta; Magnoliopsida; Brassicales; Brassicaceae. The record is from Rfam by way of RNAcentral.